This 164-nucleotide small nuclear RNA is filed under the name Rhipicephalus sanguineus (brown dog tick). Its description in RNAcentral is "U1 spliceosomal RNA". It matches the Rfam family "U1 spliceosomal RNA". Rfam says of the family: U1 is a small nuclear RNA (snRNA) component of the spliceosome (involved in pre-mRNA splicing). Its 5' end forms complementary base pairs with the 5' splice junction, thus defining the 5' donor site of an intron. There are significant differences in sequence and secondary structure between metazoan and yeast U1 snRNAs, the latter being much longer (568 nucleotides as compared to 164 nucleotides in human). The record is from Rfam by way of RNAcentral. Lineage: Eukaryota; Metazoa; Arthropoda; Arachnida; Ixodida; Ixodidae.
AUACUUACCUGGUGCCGGACUCCCGGUGAUCAUCCAGGCCGGUGUCCCGUGCCGAGGCCUAUUCCAUUGCACUGCGGAGGGCUGAAGCACGCCACUAUCCCAAACCGGGGUAGGUGGGGCAUGUAAUUUUUGGUAGUGGGGCUAGGCGUACGCGCCAGCCCCUA